This 393-nucleotide long non-coding RNA is filed under the name Ananas comosus (pineapple). RNAcentral describes it as "long non-coding RNA (ACOM_LNC011684)". Lineage: Eukaryota; Viridiplantae; Streptophyta; Magnoliopsida; Poales; Bromeliaceae. The record is from RNAcentral.
AUAGCUAUUGACAAAAGGAUUCCGACUGUGGUGCCUUUGGAAACAUAAAAGAGUUGGUGCUUCUAAGUUUUUAAUCUUUGAAUCAAUCUCUUUGACCAUUUAUAACCCUUGAAUUAAUAUUAUUUUUCUAGGGAGACUACUUAAUCCUAAAGGGAAUGACUAUCAUCCCAACCCUACAGUCCUUGAUCCAAGGGUCAAAAAGUCAGAAACUUCAACUCCUUUAUGCUUUCGAAAAUAUAGUAGCUCUACACUUGACAAAAGAGCUAAUGUUUAGGAGAUCUUUUCUACAUUUUCUCCACAAAUUAUUGAAUACAAUGUCCUAGUUUAAAAAGUUAUACUUGACUAUUCUGUAAUUUUAUCUUUAUUUCACUGGAAAAAACUUACCAUCGAAUA